CACCUGAACCAACUUGGAGCUCAGGAACUCAGGAGGGGAUUGGAGAGAGUGUGGAGACUCUGUUGUCCACAAUGAAUGCUCCUUCCCCAUCCAAAAAAAUCCCCUAGCCCAGUUUUUGGGCAGAUGCCAGACUUUUAUUCUGAAGCGUGGGCCACAUCCUAUGAGGUAAUCUUUGGAAAGUCAUUCUGAGGCGAAAUCCCAUUGGUCAGUUGGGGAAGCCCCUCCCAGGAUUCCUAGCGCUCCCCCUUCCCCGAAGCCUAUAAAAGCGCAGGUCCCGCCUCGGCAGCCACGGGACACCUGCAUCUGCCAACAAGACUGGAAGCAGUUCUCUUAGGGAGAGGGAGGAGCAGGAUGGUGGAAUAGGAGGCUCCACUGAUCAUCCUCCCUGCAAGGACACCAAUUUAUCAACUAUCUACACAGAAAAGACAUCUUCAUAAGAACCAAAGAUCAGAACUCUUACCGACUUUAAAGAAGAGAAGUAAGAAAGGCUUUCUUUAAUUCUUGAAAACUGGGGCAGAGGUGCCUUUUCAGCAUUUAACAAUACAAAGAAGGAGGAAAAAGAAGAUCAUAGCUAACUUGAAGCAGCAACUGAUUGCAGGGGAAAAACUGUUACAUCAAAUAGGAGCUAGAUGCUUUUGGGCUUUGCCUGGUACUGCUCCUUUCCCUCUGGCACAAGCAAAGGAAAAGAGAUAUAUUGCUGUCAUUUUAUUUUCUGCUGUUAUUUAAUAGAGACACUCAUCCAAGACAAAUGGAACUUUAUUAGGUAAAAAGUGGUGCAAAUGUGAGUCAUCUAUUCUGUUCUUCUGAAAGGCCUGCCUUUAUAGUUACUCUGGAUUAAUGAAACAAUCACUUUAUUCUGGGUACUGUUAAAAUACCAUUACAGUCACAAAUUUACUUGUGGAUCUUAUCUUCUGAGAAGAUCUAAGUAAUGAAACCAAGAACUGGUGAAGAGGGUAAAAAGAUGAUAUAAUAUUCUCUCCUCUUGCAUAUAAGAAAUGUUCAAUAAAUG
This is a long non-coding RNA of Symphalangus syndactylus (siamang), 1009 nucleotides long. RefSeq lists it as uncharacterized. The record is from RefSeq and is a predicted model, not a curated record. Lineage: Eukaryota; Metazoa; Chordata; Mammalia; Primates; Hylobatidae.